Molecule: ribosomal RNA, 503 nt
Filed under: uncultured bacterium
Lineage: Bacteria
Description: partial 16S ribosomal RNA
Rfam family: Bacterial small subunit ribosomal RNA
Source: RNAcentral
AUUGAACGCUGGCGGCAUGCCUUACACAUGCAAGUCGAACGGCAGCAUGGAGAGCUUGCUCUCUGAUGGCGAGUGGCGAACGGGUGAGUAAAGCAUCGGAACGUACCGUGUAGUGGGGGAUAACGUAGCGAAAGUUACGCUAAUACCGCAUACGCACUGAGGUGGAAAGCAGGGGAUCGCAAGACCUUGCGCUAUACGAGCGGCCGAUGUCAGAUUAGCUAGUUGGUAGGGUAAAGGCCUACCAAGGCGACGAUCUGUAGCGGGUCUGAGAGGGUGAGCCGCCACACUGGGACUGAGACACGGCCCAGACUCCGACGGGAGGCAGCAGUGGGGAAUUUUGGACAAUGGAGGCAACCCUGAUCCAGCAAUGCCGCGUGAGUGAAGAAGGCCUUCGGGUUGUAAAGCUCUUUUGUCAGGGAAGAAACACCGGCUCUAACACAGUCCGGGAAUGACGGUACCUGAAGAAUAAGCACCGGCUAACUACGUGCCAGCCGCCGCGGUAA